GGGUGCUCGGUUUGGCACACUUAUACUAAAAUUAGAAUGAUACGGGGAAGAUUAGCGUGGCCCCUACACAAGGAUGCUAUGCAAAUUUGUGAAAUGUUCUAUGUUAAA
This is a non-coding RNA of Otolemur garnettii (small-eared galago), 108 nucleotides long. NCBI's taxonomy places the organism in Eukaryota, Metazoa, Chordata, Mammalia, Primates, Galagidae. The record is from Rfam.